AUUCGAGUCGCAUUUGAACUGGAGCGGAGAAAGUUACCAUGGAAACGGUGCGGCACCUCUCAACUGACAAGCAGCGAACACCGUCUCUCACUGUUGUUUUCACUACUUUCAGAUUUUUCCAUGCUGAUGGCAGUGCAGUUGGACAUCUUUAGACAUUGUGAACAAUGUGACUGGAUUUUUUGGGGGGGCUUGAUGAUGCACUGGAGCCCCUGAGCAUUUGUCAGCGCCUACAUCUGUCGACAACAGCCUGCAGUAUGUGCCCACCAAUGAGUGAAGCCUGCUGAAGAAGACAGAGGACUGAGACAACACAUGCACUUGAACACAAAUACACACCCUAUACAUCUGAGGUUUUUUUUUCUUCAUGUGUAAUUUUAAUGUUUGCUUUUGUAUGUUUUAAACACUCAAUUUUCAAUGCAUAUUUUGAAAUGAAAUAAAAGCUCAAUUUGAAUUAGUUAAUUGUUUUCAUUUUGGGAAACAUGGCUAUAGGCCCUACGGAAGAACAUGGUACUGUUUUCUGUGGUAUAUUGCUCAAUGAUUUUACAUGGGUUUCACAUUAAAUUACAGGUGUACAUGGGGUGUAACAUACAUGUUUGUCUAAGCUCAUCUAAAAUAUGAGUUGAAGCACCUGCAAAGAGGAUUUGUGACUGUCACAAAUAGUUUAGAGCCAAUCACUGUAAAGCACUACACCUACAGUACAAAAGUGUGACACUUAAAGCCUCUGAAAAAAGCUUCCAUUCUGCAGUUCAACUUCUUGAA
Molecule: long non-coding RNA, 756 nt
Organism: Megalobrama amblycephala (Wuchang bream)
Lineage: Eukaryota; Metazoa; Chordata; Actinopteri; Cypriniformes; Xenocyprididae
Exons: 4
Source: RefSeq, a predicted model, not a curated record